GAUGAACGCUGGCGGCGUGCUUAACACAUGCAAGUCGAACGGAGUUAUCAUUUUUGAAGCAAAUAGCUUGCUAGGAGUGGAGAUGUUGAUAACUUAGUGGCGGACGGGUGAGUAACGCGUGGGUAACCUGCCGUAUACAGGGGGAUAACACUUAGAAAUAGGUGCUAAUACCGCAUAAGCGCACAGUUCUGCAUGGGACAGUGUGAAAAACUGAGGUGGUAUACGAUGGACCCGCGUCUGAUUAGCCAGUUGGCAGGGUAACGGCCUACCAAAGCGACGAUCAGUAGCCGGCCUGAGAGGGCGGACGGCCACAUUGGGACUGAGACACGGCCCAA
This 335-nucleotide ribosomal RNA is filed under the name uncultured bacterium. Its description in RNAcentral is "bacterial SSU rRNA". It matches the Rfam family "Bacterial small subunit ribosomal RNA", at positions 28 to 334 of the family's 1533-position model. The record is from RNAcentral.